UAUAUAUGUAAACCAACACUAAUGGGGAAUUAUCAAAAUCAUUUGAGACACCAAAAACUGUAAAGCAAACACAAAUGCUGAAAACAAGCUUAAUCAAUAUAGCAAAAUCAUAUGAUGACUGAAAGUUAAAUGAAUGGUAAAUUAAUUGUUGGGUAAGUUCUUGGCCAAUAAUAACAAAAAACAACAACAAAAAGGCCAAGUUGGAAAACAUCCCACCCUUACUGAGGCUGAAGAGGUAUUCAGAGGGAGUUUAAUUGCUGUGAAUUAAAGCAGAGAAGGAAAAUUUGGGCUAUCUUGAAGGAUUAGAAAAUAUAAGUCAUACCUGUGAGGAAAACAGGAAUCAGAAAAAUAAAUAGAAAGCCAGGUCACACGAUCAAUACAGUGUGUAAGGGAAGAACAAUGUCUCCAGAUGAAGAAAACAGACUGUGAGGAGUACUCUGAAACCAGCUACCUCAGAGAGGAGAGGGAAGGAUGGGGACAGCAUGGGGAAAACUCUUAAGCUUAAAAGCUCUGAGGAAUCUGGUCAGAAAGCAGAGAAAAGGGAAGAGGCCGAAAGUACAGUAUGUAACAAGGCAGAACACUGCAUGGAGCUGUUGAGUUCAUGUAAAACUUCCAAAGAUUUCAUUGCAGCACAACUGAAGUCCUCACGACAACCUCCUCGUAUCCUGACUUUUGAGUCUGUGCUUUACAGUCUUCUACUACCUGCGCUUACCUUGUGCAUGGUUGAUGAAUUAGGUCUCAUCUACAGGCACUGUGCUGUGGAUUGGCUCUGGAGAAGUGCUUGCUGUGAGUUCUGCAGCACCAAUCUUCCAGGAGUCUUCAGCCCUGAAGAGAUAACCCAAACCUGCAUUUUGUGCCUACAGGGGAACAUCCUUUCCAAUCGGUCACCACAGCCAAGAAUCGUUUUCUUUCAUGGGACAACCAAGAAAAAAUAUACUGGAACAUUACACGUCUGCUACCCAGACACAUCAGGAAUUGAGAGACACAGAUGCUUAACAGAAACUGUUUAUCCUAUAGCAAGCUGGAAAGUCUUUAACAAAGACCCACGGGCACAUCUCAACAGGAAUUUCCAAAGAAUAGCUAUGCAGAAGCCAUAA
This 1097-nucleotide long non-coding RNA is filed under the name Anas platyrhynchos (mallard). RNAcentral's name for it is "lncRNA (ENSAPLG00020012667.1)". Lineage: Eukaryota; Metazoa; Chordata; Aves; Anseriformes; Anatidae. The record is from RNAcentral.